This 73-nucleotide transfer RNA is filed under the name Stegodyphus mimosarum. It matches the Rfam family "tRNA". Rfam says of the family: Transfer RNA (tRNA) molecules are approximately 80 nucleotides in length. Their secondary structure includes four short double-helical elements and three loops (D, anti-codon, and T loops). The record is from Rfam by way of RNAcentral. Lineage: Eukaryota; Metazoa; Arthropoda; Arachnida; Araneae; Eresidae.
GCCUUAGUAGUGUAGUGGUCAGAACGCUCAGCGCGUAUUCGAGAGGUCCGCGGUUCGAGUCCCGGCGAGGGCA